This 467-nucleotide ribosomal RNA is filed under the name uncultured bacterium. Its description in RNAcentral is "partial 16S ribosomal RNA". It matches the Rfam family "Bacterial small subunit ribosomal RNA", at positions 28 to 506 of the family's 1533-position model. The record is from RNAcentral.
GACGAACGCUGGCGGCGUGCUUAACACAUGCAAGUCGAACGGAAAGGCCCUGCUUUUGUGGGGUGCUCGAGUGGCGAACGGGUGUGUAACACGUGAGUAACCUGCCCUUGACUUUGGGAUAACUUCAGGAAACUGGGGCUAAUACCGGAUAGGAGCUCCUGCUGCAUGGUGGGGGUUGGAAAGUUUCGGCGGUUGGGGAUGGACUCGCGGCUUAUCCUCUUGUUGGUGGGGUAGUGGCUUACCAAGGCUUUGACGGGUAGCCGGCCUGAGAGGGUGACCGGCCACAUUGGGACGGAGAUACGGCCCAGACUCCUACGGGAGGCAGCGGUGGGGAAUAUUGCACAAUGGGCGGAAGCCUGAUGCAGCAACGCCGCGUGCGGGAUGACGGCCUUCGGGUUGUAAACCGCUUUCGCCUGUGACGAAGCGUGAGUGACGGAAAUGGGUAAAGAAGCACCGGCUAACUACGU